AUGGUGGAAUUUGCCAGCAGUGUGAAAGGAAUCGCCUUAAAUCUUGAGAAUGAGAAUGUAGGUAUUGUUGUCUUUGGUAGUGAUACCGCUAUUAAAGAAGGAGAUCUUGUCAAGCGCACUGGAUCUAUUGUGGAUGUUCCUGCGGGAAAGGCCAUGUUAGGCCGUGUGGUCGACGCCUUGGGAGUACCUAUUGAUGGAAAAGGGGCUCUAAGCGAUCACGAACGAAGACGUGUCGAAGUGAAAGCCCCAGGGAUUAUUGAACGUAAAUCUGUGCACGAACCCAUGCAAACAGGCUUAAAAGCAGUGGAUAGCCUGGUUCCUAUAGGCCGUGGUCAACGAGAACUUAUAAUCGGGGACAGACAAACUGGAAAAACUGCAAUAGCUAUCGAUACUAUAUUAAACCAAAAGCAAAUGAACUCAAGGGGCACAAAUGAGAGUGAGGCUCGACUGUGGCACAAUUAG
RNAcentral lists this ribosomal RNA (462 nucleotides) under Triticum aestivum (bread wheat). RNAcentral's name for it is "partial small subunit ribosomal RNA". The record is from RNAcentral. Lineage: Eukaryota; Viridiplantae; Streptophyta; Magnoliopsida; Poales; Poaceae.